RNAcentral lists this long non-coding RNA (201 nucleotides) under Lathyrus oleraceus (garden pea). RNAcentral describes it as "Pisum sativum (pea) long non-coding RNA (PSAT_LNC041216)". The record is from RNAcentral. Lineage: Eukaryota; Viridiplantae; Streptophyta; Magnoliopsida; Fabales; Fabaceae.
UUUUUUGUAAUGCCCCAGUUUGACUGUUUUGCUGAUUCUCAUGAUACAGCUGAAUGAGCUCCUUUGGUGCUCAAGAAGGCGGGUAAUCUCAUCAGGAAUCCCCUUCAACAUCAUCUUCCUCUGCCCCAGAUACAAGGACUUCAAGAUUGGGAGAUGGCGUUGGAUCAUUAUGUUCAAUGGGUUUAGAAAUCCCUGCAUAAU